RNAcentral lists this ribosomal RNA (253 nucleotides) under uncultured bacterium. Its description in RNAcentral is "partial 16S ribosomal RNA". It matches the Rfam family "Bacterial small subunit ribosomal RNA", at positions 524 to 776 of the family's 1533-position model. The record is from RNAcentral.
UACGAAGGGUGCAAGCGUUAUUCGGAAUCAUUGGGCGUAAAGCGCGCGCAGGCGGAUUGAUAAGUCAGGUGUGAAAUCUCGAGGCUCAACCUCGAAACUGCGCCUGAAACUAUUAGUCUAGAGUGUCGGAGGGGGUAGGGGAAUUUCACGUGUAGGGGUAAAAUCCGUAGAGAUGUGAAGGAACACCGGGGGCGAAGGCGCCUACCUGGACGACUACUGACGCUGAGGCGCGAAAGCGUGGGGAGCAAACAGG